This 262-nucleotide ribosomal RNA is filed under the name uncultured bacterium. Its description in RNAcentral is "partial 16S ribosomal RNA". It matches the Rfam family "Bacterial small subunit ribosomal RNA", at positions 524 to 776 of the family's 1533-position model. The record is from RNAcentral.
AACAGAGAGCACGGGUGUUAUUCGAUUGAAUUGGGCGUAAAGGGUACGUAGGUGGCCGAUGACAGUAGGGAUGAAAUGGCGGGGUGUUCCCACGCUGCGAAACUACGUAGAGUAUGAUUCGGCUUGAGUGAACUAGAGGUUAAGUGGAAGCUCCCGUUAUUCAAGAGUAAAAUCUUAUGACUCGGGACCGAACGCCAACUGGCGAAGGCAUCUUUCUGGGGUUCACUGACGCUGAGGUACGAAAGUGCGGGGCGCAAACAGG